CCCUUGAUUUCUCUGCCACUCC
Molecule: microRNA, 22 nt
Filed under: Euprymna scolopes
Lineage: Eukaryota; Metazoa; Mollusca; Cephalopoda; Sepiida; Sepiolidae
Also listed under: 2 other names
Description: Esc-Mir-12520_5p (mature (guide))
Source: RNAcentral